UUCUGCUUUCUCUUCGAUGAACUUUCAGACACAACAUACCUUAGAACUGAUAGCAAAAGUGUGAUGUGACACCAAUACUGUGUCAAGUGUCUGAACUGGUGCAUUCUCGGCCAUGAUUGGAAUGUGAUCACUCCACUUGCCUGCUAUAAGACAGAGAACCUUUAGACCAUCGUGCACCAAUCUCUCGCGUGCAGGCGGGAAGUGGGAGACAGAGAGCCAUGGAGCAACGCUGGAAGAUGGAAGAACCAGGCAAGGUGACAGUCGCUCAUGGAUCGAUCAUGGUGCUGCCCACUGCCAAUCUCUCGGGAAGAGAGAAUCCUCACAGCUGUACUCGACUCCUGGGUCGAUCACGGUGACACCAAUUUGGCAAAGCUGACAGUGGAACUGCACCUAUUUGGCAAGAGAGGGACAAGUGCAUCAAAAAGGUGACAGCCUGAGAGGCAAAUAAAAUUAUCAUUACAGGAGGGACUGCAAUGGCAUUUACCAGACGAGGCCCAUGUCUGGAGGCGCCCGGCCC
Molecule: non-coding RNA, 517 nt
Organism: Musa acuminata subsp. malaccensis (wild Malaysian banana)
Lineage: Eukaryota; Viridiplantae; Streptophyta; Magnoliopsida; Zingiberales; Musaceae
Source: RefSeq, a predicted model, not a curated record